GACGUAGGGCGCGAGCGUUGUCCGGAUUUAUUGGGCGUAAAGAGCUCGUAGGCGGCUUGUCGCGUCGUCCGUGAAAACCCACAGCUCAACUGUGGGCUUGCGGUCGAUACGGGCAGGCUAGAGUUCGGUAGGGGAGACUGGAAUUCCUGGUGUAGCGGUGAAAUGCGCAGAUAUCAGGAGGAACACCGGUGGCGAAGGCGGUUCUCUGGGCAUGUCCUGACGCUGAGGAGCGAAAGUGUGGGGAGCGAACAGG
Molecule: ribosomal RNA, 253 nt
Filed under: uncultured bacterium
Lineage: Bacteria
Description: partial 16S ribosomal RNA
Rfam family: Bacterial small subunit ribosomal RNA
Source: RNAcentral